RNAcentral lists this ribosomal RNA (450 nucleotides) under uncultured bacterium. RNAcentral's name for it is "bacterial SSU rRNA". It matches the Rfam family "Bacterial small subunit ribosomal RNA", at positions 354 to 796 of the family's 1533-position model. The record is from RNAcentral.
GUGGGGAAUAUUGCACAAUGGGGGAAACCCUGAUGCAGCCAUGCCGCGUGUGUGAAGAAGGCCUUCGGGUUGUAAAGCACUUUCAGUAGGGAGGAAAGGGUGAGUCUUAAUACGGCUCAUCUGUGACGUUACCUACAGAAGAAGGACCGGCUAACUCCGUGCCAGCAGCCGCGGUAAUACGGAGGGUCCGAGCGUUAAUCGGAAUUACUGGGCGUAAAGCGUGCGCAGGCGGUUUGUUAAGCGAGAUGUGAAAGCCCUGGGCUCAACCUAGGAAUAGCAUUUCGAACUGGCGAACUAGAGUCUUGUAGAGGGGGGUAGAAUUCCAGGUGUAGCGGUGAAAUGCGUAGAGAUCUGGAGGAAUACCGGUGGCGAAGGCGGCCCCCUGGACAAAGACUGACGCUCAUGCACGAAAGCGUGGGGAGCAAACAGGAUUAGAAACCCUAGUAGUCC